AGCAAACGUCGAGGUAGAGUUGUGUGGAGCAUUUGUAUAAUCUGGGAGUCUUCCCCUUACUUGGCUUACAGAACCUGCUUCUCCUGAUUCUUCCUCUACGACCAUUCUUUUGCUAUUUCUACUUCAUCUGCCUGCUUGUCCCUUCAUGUGGCCGUUUCUUAAACUUUGCCCACAGCCAUAGUUAGGUUUCCAUGAGCCGUGGGCAGCAUGUUGGGUCAAUGAAGAAGGAUAAAGUCCAGGAAAGUGUCCUCCCUUUUGUUGGACAACCAGACAGCAGUGAUCCAUAGGGGUCCCAAGUUAUCUUUUGUCCCCACUCACCAUUUGUUCCCAUCUUGUCCAUGUUAAUAUCUAUUAGGAUAAAAGUGUAAAUAUGUGAUUGUGCUGGAAUAGAUAGUUUCAAGAACAGGGAGGAUCUUUUUUUUUUUUAACUAUAUUAUACCCAGUCAAAAAGGGUAUGAAUUGUGGUAAAUUUUGCCUUGCAUGAAGAGGUGUAAUAAACAGUAUUCCAGUAGUAUUUUACCUUGACACAUAAACUUCUGCAUCUUGAAAUAUAACAGAAUAAAGCUCCUCAGUUCUACCAUUCCAUAUUUGGCUACUGAGUCUAAUAGUAUUUACUUGGCACUAGAGCUCAGCCUAAGACGUAAUCACCUUGAACUCCAGGCAAAGACUUUCGUUAAUAAGGCAUGGAGGCUGCACCCUGGAGCUCAUGGUUUUCCAGUGGCACCACCUGUGGGAUCAGCUCCCAGACGUGCCAGGAGUGUUUGGGACAGAACCACCAAGAAGGUUCAGACGCGCUCUGCUGCCAGCAUCGCCAUCCUCAUGUUCCAUCGUGGUCGGGUUUAUUGUCAUUUGAGGUGUGGAUCUAGCUUAGCCUACAUGCAGCAUCCUUUUCUGUUGCGCUGAAUCCCCCACCUCUUUUUCUGCCGUCAUUUUAUUCCAUCCUAAGACCUUAGUGGUGACUUCCGUGUUUGCUGAACUGAGCUGUUCCUCCCCAGUCACCUCGGUUCCAAGACUCCUGUCUGUGGGUCUGUGUUCGCUCUACAUUCAAAAACGUUCUGCUGGAAAAUGAGCUGUGCUCCUCAGAGUUCAACUAGACAGGCCUCAAAAGCUGCGAUUCUGAGUAGGACCUACUGGAGCCCCAGGUUUAUGGUAUAGUCAGGUGAAGUAAAGCAGCUCACAUGAAAUAAGCAGCUACACCACAUCUGGGAACAUUUUCAGGGUUUUUUGGUUAUAUUUUAUAAAUACCUACCAUGCUCGCUGAAAAUGCCCUAAGUUCAGCUGCAGUAUAAACAAAACUGGGAGAUUGCUUUCUCUGUGUUUUUCAGUUUAUCUUGAUGACAUUUAAGCUCAGGCUUGGAUUUAACUGUUGAUUCCUCCAUAUAAAAUUGGAACAUUUAGUUUCAACUUCCUAGUGUUUCAGUUGCAAUCUUCAAUUCUUUAUGUUUAAAGCGUUAUCGUGGUUUAUGGUUAUUGUUCCCCUUGUUUUUAAGGUUCUUAUUCUGCUAUAUUGGUUUAUACUUCUCUUUGUUCUGAUUAAUGAAAGAGCAAAUCGCCUCCAGUGAUCUUUUAAUUAAGUUGUAUUAACGCUGUAUCCAGUAAUAUCACUUCCUCCAAUGAUCUUUUAAUUAAGUUGUAUUAACGCUGUAUCCAGUAAUAUCACUUCAAAGGGCACUUUGCUGGGGAAGCCUCUUACAAAAAUACUGCAACCAUAUUUGACAUUUGACUAAUAUUCCAAAGUUCAGGAACUGCAGCAUAUAUAUUCUAAAUAAAGCAAAGUGACUCAGGCCUUUCUUUCUUCA
This 1799-nucleotide long non-coding RNA is filed under the name Sus scrofa (pig). RNAcentral describes it as "lncRNA (ENSSSCG00050040050.1)". The record is from RNAcentral. Lineage: Eukaryota; Metazoa; Chordata; Mammalia; Artiodactyla; Suidae.